UACGUAGGUGGCAAGCGUUGUCCGGAUUUAUUGGGCUUAAAGGGUGCGUAGGCGGCCCCAUAAGUCAGUGCUGAAAUACUCUAGCUCAACUAGAGGGGUGGCAUUGAUACUGCGGGGCUUGAGUGGAGUCGAGGUAGGCGGAAUUGACGGUGUAGCGGUGAAAUGCUUAGAUAUCGUCAAGAACACCGAUAGCGUAGACAGCUUACUAGGCUUCAACUGACGCUGAGGCACGAAAGUGUGGGGAUCAAACAGG
This 253-nucleotide ribosomal RNA is filed under the name uncultured bacterium. RNAcentral's name for it is "partial 16S ribosomal RNA". It matches the Rfam family "Bacterial small subunit ribosomal RNA", at positions 524 to 776 of the family's 1533-position model. The record is from RNAcentral.